RNAcentral lists this unclassified non-coding RNA (341 nucleotides) under soil metagenome. RNAcentral's name for it is "partial contains 5.8S ribosomal RNA, internal transcribed spacer 2, and large subunit ribosomal RNA". The stretch from base 1 to 120 matches the Rfam family "5.8S ribosomal RNA", at positions 35 to 154 of the family's 154-position model. The record is from RNAcentral.
GAUGAAGAACGCAGCGAAAUGCGAUAAGUAAUGUGAAUUGCAGAAUUCAGUGAAUCAUCGAAUCUUUGAACGCACAUUGCGCCCGCUAGUAUUCUGGCGGGCAUGCCUGUCCGAGCGUCAUUUCAACCCUCAAGCCCCCGGGCUUGGUGUUGGGGAUCGGCGAGCCUCCGCGCCCGCCGUCCCCUAAAUCUAGUGGCGGUCUCGCUGUAGCUUCCUCUGCGUAGUAGCACACCUCGCACUGGGAAACAGCGCGGCCACGCCGUUAAACCCCCAACUUCUGAACGUUUGACCUCGGAUCAGGUAGGAAUACCCGCUGAACUUAAGCAUAUCAAUACGGAGGA